UAGCAAUUGGCCAAUUUAUCAGAAGAUAAACAAAAGAUACCAACUUGAUUUUUAUAAUAUGGUAACUUUUGAGCAACAAGCAGAAAUUGGUGAAAUGAUUAAAAAGUUUGCAGAAGUCAAAUCACGGAGAUAAGCCAAACCACGGAGAUAAGAAAGAAACUGGUAGUUAUUGUAAACAUUUUUGGAUUGUUAAAAGGGUAGAAGAAGGAAUCUAAAGUUUGUUAUUGUUUUGGCGUCUUUAAAAAUGUGACGUUAUAUGUGAUUUUGUUAUUAGAAAUAUUUUCAAUUUUUUAAGAAUGUAUUUGGCAAGAUAUCACACAUGUAACUUAUUUCAUAAGAUAUUAAAUAAAAAA
This is a long non-coding RNA of Hydra vulgaris (swiftwater hydra), 353 nucleotides long. RefSeq lists it as uncharacterized. The record is from RefSeq and is a predicted model, not a curated record. NCBI's taxonomy places the organism in Eukaryota, Metazoa, Cnidaria, Hydrozoa, Anthoathecata, Hydridae.